UCCCUGUUGGCUCAGAUGGUAAAGACCCUGCCUGGAAUGCAGGAGACCCAGGUUUGAUCCCUGGGUCUGGAA
This 72-nucleotide transfer RNA is filed under the name Capra hircus (goat). It matches the Rfam family "tRNA". From Rfam's summary of the family: Transfer RNA (tRNA) molecules are approximately 80 nucleotides in length. The record is from Rfam by way of RNAcentral. RNAcentral also lists the same sequence under 1 other name. Lineage: Eukaryota; Metazoa; Chordata; Mammalia; Artiodactyla; Bovidae.